This is a long non-coding RNA of Orcinus orca (killer whale), 1386 nucleotides long. RefSeq lists it as uncharacterized. NCBI's taxonomy places the organism in Eukaryota, Metazoa, Chordata, Mammalia, Artiodactyla, Delphinidae. The transcript is spliced from 3 exons. The record is from RefSeq and is a predicted model, not a curated record.
GGGGAGAUAUGACUCUGGGACUCCCAGUGACCAUCCAGCACAAGGAGAGACUUUCUGUAAAAUAAAGUCUUGCAGAGGUUAAUUAUCUGAGAAGAGUAUUGUGCCAGCACACUUGAUACUACAGUAUUUCAUGUUUGACAGCUGUUGAUUCCUUCUCUUGUUCUGGAUGGAAGAUAGCAACGAAGCCACUUCAAAGGGCUCAGCCUGCCUUUUUGUGUUAUUGUUUAGAUGGAGAUAUUUCCAUUUAUUAAAGCAGACUAUUUAAACAUUUUUAUCAUGUUUUAAACUUGACUGUGUUCUGAAGGUAUGAGCACAGGCAGACAUAAUGGGGGAUGUUUUCCAGGAGAAAACAUACUCUUAUCAAAGGAAUUAUCAGAAUUUUCAUGUAUGGAUUGAGAAUCAAAUUCUGGAGUUAGACCUGAAUUUAAAUUCAUACUCACAACUUAUUACCAGUCUCAUCUUGAUCAAAUGGUUACCACACUUCUCAUCAAUUUCCUUAUCUUUGAAAGUGGAAUAAGAGAAGUAUGCCUGGUGGAGUUACACAUAAAGCUCAUCUGAUAGAAUAUUCAUAAGGAUUUUGCACAAAAUAUACAUGGAAAUAUUUUAGCACCGAGUUUAGCAUGCGAUUCGUCUUCAAUACAUUUAAGAGCUAUUAUUUUAUUAUUAUUAUGCUAUCAUUAAAUAUCACUAUUACUUAAAUGUCAUUAUUGCUAACAUUGCUGUAAAACUACCGGAAUAACCCAUGAUGAAUUCCCCUCUUCUGUUUCCUUUGUUUAAAUGGAAAAUAUAUAUAUAAAUCUAGACAGAGAAGACUUUAGUGAUCCUAUUCAGUGGAGUGAGAAUUUCCAUGGCACUGAUUAAAACAAAUCCUAAAUUGCAUGGACUUAAGGUAGCAGAGAGGGGCUUCCCUGGUGGCGCAGUGGUUGAGAGUUCGUGACCCGAUCCGGGAAGAUCCCACAUGCCGCGGAGCGGCUGGGCCUGUGAGCCAUGGCUGCUGAGCCUGUGCGUCCGGAGCCUGUGCUUCGCAACGGGAGAGGCUGCAACAGUGAGAAGCCCGCGUACCGCAAAGAAGAAAAAAAAAAAAAAAAGAUAGCAGAGAGGCUAAGAGAUUUGAAGUUAGACAUCCCCAAGUGUGAAUUCUACUGUGACCCUCUUCUAGCUCUAGAACCUUGAGGAAGUUACUUAAACUUUCUGAGCUUUACUACUAGUUUCCUCAUCUGUAUCUUUUUCAGGACUAUUUAUCAAGCAUCUUCCUGUUCUCUAUGCUUGGACGUAUCAAUGAAUAAAUGAGACAAGAGCCUUUGCCUGCGUGCUCCUUCUUGCAUGCUUUCUCCCUCCUUACACUCUCGUGUGGAAACGGAUGUUAUAAAUAAACUCUAUGCUUUG